Molecule: ribosomal RNA, 249 nt
Filed under: uncultured organism
Description: partial 16S ribosomal RNA
Rfam family: Bacterial small subunit ribosomal RNA
Source: RNAcentral
UGAGGAAUAUUGGACAAUGGAGGAAACUCUGAUCCAGCCAUGCCGCGUGAGUGAUGAAGGCCUUAGGGUCGUAAAACUCUUUCGAUGGGGAAAAUAAUGAUGGUACCCAUAUAAGAAGCUCCGGCUAACUCCGUGCCAGCAGCCGCGGUCAUACGGAGGGAGCUAGAGUUAUUCGGAUUUACUGGGCGUAAAGCGCGUGUAGGUGGCUUAAACAGCCAGAGGUGAAAUCCCGGAGCUUAACUCCGGAAC